GUGCUCACUUCAGCAGCACAUAUACUAAAAUUGAAACAAUAUAGAAGAUUAUCAUGGCCCCUGUGAAAGAAUGGCGUGCAAAUUCAUGAGGUGUUCUAUAUUAAA
This is a small nuclear RNA of Ailuropoda melanoleuca (giant panda), 105 nucleotides long. NCBI's taxonomy places the organism in Eukaryota, Metazoa, Chordata, Mammalia, Carnivora, Ursidae. The record is from Ensembl.